Long non-coding RNA from Cygnus olor (mute swan), 4133 nucleotides. RefSeq lists it as uncharacterized. NCBI's taxonomy places the organism in Eukaryota, Metazoa, Chordata, Aves, Anseriformes, Anatidae. The record is from RefSeq and is a predicted model, not a curated record. The transcript has 3 exons.
GUGACAUUCACUUAUAAACACUCACAUGUAAGCAACAUCUUAACCUAAGAUGAGACUCUCUUCCUCACAUGAAACAUAAAAGGUGGACUACUACCUUAGGGCCAGAUCAGGCAGCACAUCUAAAAAUUAAAUUCUAGACUGGUCAGACUCGGACUGGGGAGAGAACGAUUUCGGUGGUUUCAGUAUCUUUGUCUUCCGCCAAUAUUUUUAUUUUCUUGCAGUAUAAAUAUCCCUAAAGGAAGAGAUCUCACUGCAUGUAACUCUUUUUUUCUGUUGAGUCAUUUGGCUUGUUUAUGUAUCCUAUGUAGAGGUGUAGUUUUACAAAAUGCCUACUGCAUGCACGAAGAACUCCCCUCUGAACAGAUCCUCUACCUGAGCAUCAGGGAAAGAAAGAAAUGUGUAACUGAUGACAUUUCAAGGGCAAGGAAAACAACUGUUCAGAGGAGAAUUAGCUGAUUUGGUUGGUGUUUAUUUUUACUUCUAUCUAGCAAUCUGCUCUCCAACAGAAGAUGCUUAUUUGCAGCAGAGAAGGCUGUCUCCUGUUUGGACUGGCGCCCGAUCUGGAGAAAAGGUGUGACUAAGGACAAGAGGUAUGUCUUAAGCAUGUAUUGGCUAAUGGAAAAGGGUCCUGGGGUGGGAAGGGAUAUUGUAUGUGUCAUGUAUGAUAGCUAAUGACGGAUAAAUUCUGCAUUUCUUCCCAUCAUGCUUCUCAUCCACUACCAUAUAUUAAAUCUGCCUUACACUCAGGAGUGUGUAUUCCAAACUAAGAUAUUCCACAUCUGGAAUUUUAGAAUUAAUUAUUCAUCAAGAACUUGUGUAGAGAAGCUCUAAGGUAUAGCUCAGUUAAUUUAUUUUACACAUGCUUACUGCCAAGUUGGAGGGCAUAACAAUUUCACAAGUCUUUUCCUUUCAAGAACUGUUUGGAGAAACUUUUACAGUCCUGGUAUCCUGUAAUGAAGGUCUGAAUAUCUGCAGAUUGCAAACUGAAGUAAAACAGAUUGCAGCAGAAUGGCAAAUAGGUUAAGAAGCAGAAAAGAGCUGUUACUUUUUGCUGCAAUCACUAAGAAAAAUGUAAAAGGAUAGAAUCCACUUCCAUCUGCCUAGGGCUCAACCCUUAUUUUUAGGUUAUUUCUACUGUAAUGAUUUUGUCUUGCACACUCUCUCACGUAAGACAUUAAAUAAUGCUGAGUUACUGAUGUGCCAGCUAUGGUAUCCAGUAGUUACCGAAUAUAAACCCGAGUGUUUGCUUUCUCCAAGUCUUUGCCUCGGUAAUAUCUUUAAACAUAAUAGCCUCUGCCUGUUGGCUUGUUUUCUCAUGGGGAGGGUGACAGAACAUUUUGUGUUCUCUUAUCUUCAAUAGCAAUGAAACAGGAGGAGCUCCACAAUGCGAAACCAAAUCUACUGCUAUUAAUACAACAUCCCAGCCACAGAGAAGAGAUUUGUUUAUUUAUCAAAGCUAGAGAUGCCUCUCUCUGACCUUUCCAGAGCUUGUGUGCUUUAGCUGGGAAUAGAUUCCAUAGAACUGGAUGCUCUUUUUAAAAAUAUACAAUAAAAAACUUACCCCUGUCCCUGAAACAGAGCCAAGGCUCUAUCCCCAAUUACAUGAAAUGCCCUGUAACUUUGAAUAUUUAGAUUCUAACCAGGGCAACAGUCCGUAUUCAGUUUUGAUUACUUUGCAGCUGCACAGAGACCAACCAGCUUUCCAAAGCCCACUCGCCUUUCUUGCUGCCACUCAGCGGCACGCUCAGCUGGCUGUAACCAUACAUGGGCCCCCUUCUCUCGGAGGCCUAACAUCUGCCUGCAGCCUAAGAAACCUGCCAGUAGAGCUUGUUUUUUUGUUGCAGAAUUAAAAAGUGUUACAGACUGUACAGUUUUGUUAAUUUUUCUUCUUUUUUUUUCUCCUUGGCCAUCGAGUUCCCCAGCUCAGCAUGUCGAUUCAAACACCGCUCACUUGGUACCUGCUCCAUGACUGCUCGGUAUUUCAGCCUACACAGACUGUUAAUGAGUUACAGAAGCAAACCUGCGAGUAGGAACUAGAAGCCCUACAUGUCCUGAUUCCAAGGCAAUAAUCAUAUUAUAUAAAGGGAAACCAAUAUUUAUGCCAUCUCCUCCUCCUCCAACAGUUACAACAGAAGGCAGCACACAGCCCUUGGAAGACCCAGUCUUACCUGACAGCUGUGCUCGGAGUGUGCCUGCUUAAUGGGGCCCUUCCAAAGACCAGGGCUUGUGGCCGCCUUUGUGAAAUCCCACCAACUGGGUUGGUUCCCCUCUCUUACCUGAUGUCCCUGCUCCUGGGCAGCUGCAGCAUCCCUCAGCCGUGUUGGUCCAGCGCCCACGCAGAAUUGCCAGCCGCAUCACCGAGCUGUUCACCUGAAAGUAACUUUCCAGUGCCUGUACCCAUGUAAUGAGGGAAAGUAAAGGGACUGAAACUGGCACCAAGGUGUAAGGUGGGAGCACCGCUGCUUCUUUGGGUAGAAGUACCAGAUUUGGGGCCGGGUCUGUGAGCUUUUGGGCUAACCCCGAGAAGCCUGAGAACAAACUUUGCUUUCAGUACAUCAGAACACCAUGCUCAAGUCAGAGGAAAGUUUUUUUUGCUUCCUUCAGUUUAGUGUCUCCUGUGAAGCUGAUUCCCACAGAUCAAGAAAAGCAUAGCAUUUUUAAAACAAAACAUUUGUUAACUAAGGAUUUCCUGGAUUUUUCUGCUUUCUUAUUUACACUGUGAUCUGGACACUGUGAAACCACUGUUUAACUUCCAGUAUUAUUUAUGGAAGCCAGGCUGUUGCUGUUUCCAGCCCUUACAGAGAACUUUCAGUUUGCAGUUUCAGUACCAGGUGCACAACCCUGGCUUAAGUUAAUCAGCUGAAAAGUAACACACCGUAAGUACACAACCCUCUGGAGCCCUGUCUGAAGCUCCACAGGUAGGGCCUUUUUGCAGGCUGUAAGCUACCUCAGUAGUCGGGGUCCCAAAUCAAGAAAGCUCCACGUCAGUGAGAUCAGAACUUGGGAUUGUCCAGCCUUUUCGAUGCAGCAGAGGUAGGUACUAGUUUGGAAGCGUUCCUAUUGUGCACAGAGAGAAAUUUGAAAUUUUGCUAGCUCACUUAUCAAUACAAAAGACUUCAUGCCUGAGCACAGAAACAGAUUUUAGGAAAUGAACCAUUUUUAUGAGACUUUGCAUGUUACAACUACUGAUCAAAACUCUUCAAUUCACAAUAGAAAGAAACAGGCAAGGAAUAAUGAUUUAAGCAAACUGGAUCCAGCUUCUGUGCUGUCAGCGUGACUACUCUGACUUACAACCAUGGUGAAAAAAUCAGUUUGAAGUGUGACCUCCCCCCAGCAUAUGGGCCCUGGGUGUGCAUGCUGCAGCAUUAUGUGCUACCUUUCACAGCUGCAUAAACUAAGUGCAAAGUAGUUUGAAAUUGUUAGAAAAACAGAAAUCAAGAUUUUUAAUUAUUUUGCAUGAGUAAAAACGACCAUGUGUAUGGUACAAAGUAGUACAGAAUCAGGUCAAUGAAGUUCACGUGACUGCUAUCUGAGCGAGGUUGUUAAUGAUUGCACAAUAGGGAGCUUUAACGAACAGAAAAGGAUGAGAGAGAGCAACAAUAAGUAACUUAUUGAAAACUCAGUUCGGGUGCUCCUUUACCUUACAGUUCUCCUGUCCCACACCUGCAGCUUUCUGUCACCUGGCAGAAGACCUGGCAUCAUUGCACAAACUUCACCAUCACACCAACAUCAGUUACAGCCACCAGAAGUCUUCUAGGAUGACAGAUAAAGGUUAGAGCCUGCUGAUGACCCAAGUGGAUGUCAGUAGGAUGGAAUACCAUUACUUUCAAAUGCUUUUUUGAAAACCUGGGGAAACACAUCCCCAAAGUCUUUAUUUAAAAGUAUUAAGGCUACAAAAUCAAACACUUGCUCAAAUUAGAAAAUGCUGGGUUAGAAAAAGAAGCCCGGAAUCACGUAAUUAAAGAUUACUUUAGGGUACAUGCAUGGAAAGGCAACCUUUCUUCUGGCAUUUUCUAACUUCAGUGUGCUUGCAAAUUAUUCAUAUUUUGGCAAAGAUGUUGGAUAUGUAAAAUGUAUAUAUUAUAUAUAGAACCGUAUUUCUCUCUGAUAUAUUUUUGUCUCAUAAAUGCAGU